GAGGACGACCAGCCACACUGGCACUGAGAUACGGGCCAGACUCCUACGGGAGGCAGCAGUGAGGAAUAUUGCGCAAUGGGGGAAACCCUGACGCAGCAACGCCGCGUGUGGGAAGAAGGCCUUCGGGUCGUAAACCACUUUUGCACGGGACGAAAAAGGGAUAUCGAACAAAUAUCCCCGAUGACGGUACCGUGAGAAUAAGCCACGGCUAACUCUGUGCCAGCAGCCGCGGUAAGACAGAGGUGGCAAGCGUUGUUCGGAAUUACUGGGCGUAAAGAGUCUGUAGGUGGUUUGUCAAGUCUUUGGUGAAAGGCCGUAGCUUAACUAUGGGAAUG
RNAcentral lists this ribosomal RNA (335 nucleotides) under uncultured bacterium. RNAcentral's name for it is "bacterial SSU rRNA". It matches the Rfam family "Bacterial small subunit ribosomal RNA", at positions 296 to 623 of the family's 1533-position model. The record is from RNAcentral.